RNAcentral lists this ribosomal RNA (728 nucleotides) under uncultured archaeon. Its description in RNAcentral is "bacterial SSU rRNA". It matches the Rfam family "Archaeal small subunit ribosomal RNA", at positions 23 to 731 of the family's 1478-position model. The record is from RNAcentral.
CCCACUGCUAUCGAGGUGGGACUAAGCCAUGCUAGUUGAGCGCACAGAACUAUGUCUGUGAGCGGCACACUGCUCAGUAACACGUAGCUAACCUACCCUUAGGACGUGGACAACCCCGAGAAAUUGGGGCUAAUCCGCGAUAGAUGUAUUGUCCUGGAAUGGUAUUACGUCUAAAGGUAUCCCAUACAUGUUUGGUAUAUGCCUAAGGAUGGGGCUGCGGCCGAUCAGGCUGUUGGUGAGGUAAUGGCUCACCAAACCUUUGACCGGUACGGGCCAUGAGAGUGGUAGCCCGGAGAUGGACACUGAGACAAGGGUCCAGGCCCUACGGGGCGCAGCAGGCGCGAAACCUCCUCAAUGCACUUACGUGCGAAGGGGCUACCUCGAGUGCCACCUGAUGAAGGUGGCUUUUCCUAGGUCUAAAAAGCCUUGGGAAUAAGAGGGGGGCAAGACUGGUGUCAGCCGCCGCGGUAACACCAGCCCCUCGAGUGGUGGGGAUGAUUAUUGGGCCUAAAGCGUCCGUAGCCUGCCGUGUAAGUUUCCCGUUAAAUCCAGCGUCUUAAGCGUUGGACCGCGGGAAAUACUGUACGGCUAGAGAGUGGGAGAGGUCAGCGGUAUUCUGGGGGUAGGGGCGAAAUCCUUUGAUCCCCGGAGGACCACCAGUGGCGAAGGCUGCUGUCUAGAACACGUCCGACGGUCAGGGACGAAAGCUGGGGUAGCGAACCGGAUUA